This 45-nucleotide non-coding RNA is filed under the name Schistosoma curassoni. Lineage: Eukaryota; Metazoa; Platyhelminthes; Trematoda; Strigeidida; Schistosomatidae. The record is from RNAcentral.
AUUCAGCCGAUGAGUCCCAAAUAGGAAGAAACGUUCGUCCUGGAU